RNAcentral lists this ribosomal RNA (251 nucleotides) under uncultured bacterium. RNAcentral's name for it is "partial 16S ribosomal RNA". It matches the Rfam family "Bacterial small subunit ribosomal RNA", at positions 526 to 776 of the family's 1533-position model. The record is from RNAcentral.
CAGAGGUCCCGAGCGUUGUUCGGAUUUAUUGGGCGUAAAGGGUGCGUAGGCGGCGGAGUAAGUUGGGUGUGAAAUCCCGGGGCUCAACCUCGGAAUGGCAUUCAAUACUGCUUCGCUAGAGUACUGGAGAGGAGGCUGGAAUUUACGGUGUAGCAGUGAAAUGCGUAGAGAUCCGGAAGAACACCGGUGGCGAAGGCGGUCUGCUGGGCAGUUGCUGACACUGAGGCGCAACAGCGUGGGGAGCAAACAGG